CUCAACAUGUUUCAUGGAGCUCGUACGUCUCUUGAGAGUCCUCAGUGCCCUGCGGGGCUAGCAGGGUCCGUGCCCAGCUGACACAGGUGCCACGGUGCCAACACAGCCCCGUGCGUGGCCUUUGUGCCGCACACAGCUGCAGGGCGUGGUGAACGACCUGCAGCCCGGCAGGGAUGUGGCAGGGCCCCGCAGGGAGUGAGCAGGGCCCGGCAGGGAGUGCGCAGGGCCCCGCAGGGAGUGUGCAGGGCCCGGCAGGGAGUGUGCAGGGCCCCGCACGGCUGGCUCAGACCCCGCAGAGCCCGCACGGAGCUCGGUGAACAGCCCACUCCCGCCUCCCCACGUGGCCCCGUUUCGUCUCCCGCCGCUGUCGGGGCCGGCUCGGUGGCGGCCCCGGAGCUGCAGAGGCGGGCACGGGUCAGAAUCGCAGGGCGCUCAGCGGCCGUGGCCUCGCCUAUCUGAUCGACUCAUCCCGCCCGGCCCAGCCGCACAGCGCCCGGGGGCUUCGCGGCGCUUUCUUCUCACCUCGGCCCGGCGGGGCCCGGCCGAUCGAAUAAGAUCAACGUGUAGGGAGGGAGGGAGGGAGGCGCCUCACACACACCGACAUCACUCACUCACUCACUCACUCACUCACUCACUCACUCACUCACUCACUCACUCACUCACUCACUCACUCACUCACUCACUCACUCACUCACUCACUCACUCACU
Long non-coding RNA from Poecile atricapillus (Black-capped chickadee), 708 nucleotides. RefSeq lists it as uncharacterized. Lineage: Eukaryota; Metazoa; Chordata; Aves; Passeriformes; Paridae. The record is from RefSeq and is a predicted model, not a curated record. The transcript is spliced from 2 exons.